UUUUCAGAAGGUCAUCAGUUAGCGAAACGGGAGUGGACAAGCAGCAGCGUUACUUGCAUAUAUAAGAAACGUUGGCAAGCACUGAAACGUGAAGACGUGCCAAUUAAACGAGGUGCUUUUUUAGCCAUCAGCUAUGUUUUGGCUAAAAUGUGUUACGGUCUGCACGGUACUUUUGAGAGUUCAUUGCUACAUCCCGUACUACGGGAACCGCUGCACUGAAGAACCUGCCGAUGUAUACAUCUACCCAAAUUACGGUGACGGCGACCAACCGAAGCCACCUGAAAUCGGCCACAGCUACAUAGCGAAGUACGAAAUGAAUACCAUCGACGCCAACCACCCAGCGUGGGUCGAAGAGUAUUUUGACUACGAGGGAAAGAGAGCGAAAAUAUCAGCGUCUGUUCUAGGCGUAGAGUUUGUCGACAUUUACGAUUACGGCAGAGGCACUGUCACGUCGUAUCGACUAUCCAGAAGAGAGAGCAGUGGUUGGAGUUCGAAGAUUGAAGACACCUGCGAGACAGUUGAAAUGGCGAAGUUCAAGCCGGCGUUUCCAAUUUUGUCGUACCCUUAUUCUAAGGAAGCUAAAUCUGGCCCACAGCCUAUGGCCACGUCCAACCGAGCAUUGAAGUACGGCCCUCCGUACAACUAUACCUACAUGGAACUAUACAUUGGCAAAGAAACCCGAAACGAACAAUCAGACCUUUUCAGGGGCUGCGUAAAUGAAGAACAUCUGAAUUUUUCCAUUCGCUCGAACUUCUAUUGGGGACGCGCCCUACCAUUUUCUUAUCCAAGCGGAGAAGAGCGAGUCCCACUUUAUAUUGAAAUGAGGGGACCGGAUUUAAAUAAUAAUGCGAAAGAAAUAUACACGAUGAUGUAUGUUUCGUGGUUCCAAAAAGACCCAGAGUUCAGUUUUGACACGUUUCAGGUUCCAAAAGGACUGCACUGCGACUACUCGCCCAAUAGAGGGCGCUUGCCCAGCAUGCCCUCGUCGUUUAGCUACGGUGUUGAAGAGACUGUAUUUCAACUUGAUGGCAGUGGCUUUCUGAAAGGUGGCUUUGCUUCGCUUUCAUACAAAAAGGUGUGGUACGAUAGCGAGCUAAAACUCGCAAGAAUUGAUAUGAGACCGUCGAAAGAAGACCUAAAGUCAGAACUACGAUCGGUGGGCGACUCGCCUGGGUUUAUCUCUGUCAUAUUCGACCUGAAAACAGGCUUUACUUAUGUUGGAAGCGUUGCAGAAUCGAAAUGCCUGUUAGUGGACAAGCAGAAGACUCAUUUUUGGAAGCACCCUAACGGCUCUCUGAAAACGUCUGACGAAUUCUUCGGCAUCAGCGCAAAUCUGCAAUACAAGGGAAAAGCUACCAUAAUGGGCGCUGAAGCUAUGACAUGGACAGAGGUAGUCAAAGGUGCCGGAAAGUCCUCAACAAUAAAAAGGGACAUGUCUUUUGCGUCGUAUGACACAAGAAAAGACACAUACAGUAAUAAGCACGUCUUUUCUUUGAUUCAAGAAGCAAUCUACGAGGAAGAGGACACGCAGCAAAAUCGGUCUGGGGAGUUUCCAAACCAGAAUGUCAUCAUCAGAAACUACCUUUAUUUCAACUCCUUUGCGCCAGAGCAAGAUGUAUUCAGCCCGCACGCUUGUCUGCCGGAAAAGCCUGCAGGCUCGUACUACAUAAACUUCAAACCUUUGAAGGCCUGCACUUUGGACGCUGCCAACAGGACAAGGUUUUUAGCAGCUUUUCGCAACGCACUUAGAAUUUCUACAAAGUUGAGCACCAUUCUGGCUGUCCAAAAUUUUCACUUCAGGUGGUACAACGGGAACGGAACGUCAGUAGGAUUCACCUUUCAUGAAGACAUUCCGGGAGAGAAGUCCACCGAGUCAAAGUUUAGCACAAUAGCCAAGCAAAAAGCAGAAGGAGACCAAAAGCCUUUGACAGUAAGCUUUCGGUUGACGGCGGCGUCUGAAAUGAAUGAGUGUACCUGGCAAUCAUAUCUGUUUCACAAACAGCGACUCACUGUGCUCCAGCCAACUACAACGCCAUCCCCAGGUAUGGCGGUCUAAUCGAAGCGCUACAAUUUAGUCUACGUUGCAUGCGCGCAGCUGUAAUGACUCGGAUCUCGGGAUUUCCUUGUCUCCGUCGACAGAAGAGUCUACAGAAAACCAUUCCACGAGUAGAAGCGAAAGGUUGGUCCGGUAUUACACCACCCGCAGGAUCAGCCCACAUUUUGCCCACGGACAUCGACACGAAAAAUGCCGACCAACGAGAAACUAACAGCUUCGCGGUAAAACAACUGUUAUGAUACCGGCCUGUUCUCUCAAGCUCUCAAGAAAAAAGCUUCACGUUAAUUGCUUUGCAACGAGGUGUCACCUCGUUCACGUCAAUUUUUGGUGAUGCUAGCUUGCUGAACUAACAUACUGAAGUCAAGCCAAGCCAAUGUCAUUGUGUGGCUCUGGCAGCACCUCUUUUUUUAUAAACAUCACCAGCACCCCACUAGCAAAUGGCUUAGAGUAGAGCUGUUAGUACA
Molecule: RNA transcript, 2520 nt
Organism: Dermacentor andersoni
Lineage: Eukaryota; Metazoa; Arthropoda; Arachnida; Ixodida; Ixodidae
Source: RefSeq, a predicted model, not a curated record